Molecule: ribosomal RNA, 524 nt
Filed under: uncultured bacterium
Lineage: Bacteria
Description: partial 16S ribosomal RNA
Rfam family: Bacterial small subunit ribosomal RNA
Source: RNAcentral
GACGAACGCUGGCGGCGUGCCUAAUACAUGCAAGUCGAGCGCAGGAAACUGACGGAACUCUUCGGAGGGAAGGCAGCGGAAUGAGCGGCGGACGGGUGAGUAACACGUAAGGAACCUGCCUCAAGGAUUGGGAUAACUCCGAGAAAUCGGAGCUAAUCCCGGAUAGUUCAUCGGACCGCAUGGUCCGUUGAUGAAAGGCGCUCCGGCGUCACCUUGAGAGGGCCUUGCGGUGCAUUAGCUAGUUGGUGGGGUAACGGCCCACCAAGGCGACGAUGCAUAGCCGACCUGAGAGGGUGAUCGGCCACACUGGGACUGAGACACGGCCCAGACUCCUACGGGAGGCAGCAGUAGGGAAUCUUCCACAAUGGACGAAAGUCUGAUGGAGCAACGCCGCGUGAGUGAUGAAGGUUUUCGGAUCGUAAAACUCUGUUGUAAGGGAAGAACACGUACGAGAGGAAAUGCUCGUACCUUGACGGUACCUUACGAGAAAGCCACGGCUAACUACGUGCCAGCAGCCGCCGUAA